Octopus sinensis (East Asian common octopus) is the source of this 99-nucleotide long non-coding RNA. RefSeq lists it as uncharacterized. NCBI's taxonomy places the organism in Eukaryota, Metazoa, Mollusca, Cephalopoda, Octopoda, Octopodidae. The transcript has 3 exons. The record is from RefSeq and is a predicted model, not a curated record.
CUUCAGCGGUCACAGUCUUCAAGUUUUAGCUCCUGCACGUAAUGGGGUUUCCACGGACGGAAAUUCAAUUCUUUAUGCAACACCGGGCUAAGAAUAUAA